UGAAGUGUGGCAGCACUAAGGUAUGAAUCUGAUACUCUGCCCCUCAAAGCAGCGGAACCAGAGCGUGUCACAACCCCACCUUGGGGAUUGCGCCCAAGGAAAUAGAUCUCCAGUAAAAUUCUUAAGCGUCACGUUAUGCAGACGGCACGCAGCUGAUCGUCACAAGAAGAAAACAUCGACACCAACAGCAACGACGAAAGGACCAGCACUUCCUCCUGAAGCCCAGAGCCGGCCUUGGAACCGCGCAGGCCCUCACUCCGAGAUAGGGGUCGAUGAAAGAAGGCAUGGGGCUACAGCUGGAGCGUUUGAAGUCUGAGAGGAGUGGAUGUCCCCUCUGCUGCCCAGCGACUGCAACUUGCCGGCGAAUCAGGGCAAAGACGAUCCAGCCGUCUGAUUGGUGGAUAGAGUGGGGACCUGGGGUGACAUUCACACUGAUCCUUGAUGGGCUUGUGCUUGAUGCUGGUGCUGCGCUCGCUUCUCACCUUCGUAUAUAGAGAUGAUGUGUGGGUGGCGGAGGGAUGACAUGAUUUCGAUCUCUCUGCGGAUGUGCACCAUGUCCUGCUCAUCCUUGAUCUUUUCCUUCCGAAUUGAUUU
Long non-coding RNA from Gambusia affinis (western mosquitofish), 594 nucleotides. RefSeq lists it as uncharacterized. NCBI's taxonomy places the organism in Eukaryota, Metazoa, Chordata, Actinopteri, Cyprinodontiformes, Poeciliidae. The record is from RefSeq and is a predicted model, not a curated record. The transcript has 6 exons.